GAUCUUUAUUUUUAUUGUUUAUAAACUAAAAAGAAUUUUAAAAUUUAUAUUUUUUAUGAAAAUUUUAUUGGGGUGAUAUUAAAAUUUAAAAAACUUUUAAAGUUAAUUAACAUAAAUAUAUGAAUUAUUGAUCCAAUUUUAUUGAUUAAAAAUUUAAGUUACCUUAGGGAUAACAGCGUAAUUUUUUUUUAGAGUUCAUAUCGACAAAAAAGAUUGC
This 217-nucleotide ribosomal RNA is filed under the name Culex ocellatus. RNAcentral's name for it is "partial 16S ribosomal RNA". Lineage: Eukaryota; Metazoa; Arthropoda; Insecta; Diptera; Culicidae. The record is from RNAcentral.